GUGAGGAAUAUUGGUCAAUGGACGCAAGUCUGAACCAGCCAAGUAGCGUGAAGGAUGACUGCCCUAUGGGUUGUAAACUUCUUUUAUAAGGGAAUAAAGUCGGCCACGUGUGGCCGUUUGUAUGUACCUUACGAAUAAGGAUCGGCUAACUCCGUGCCAGCAGCCGCGGUAAUACGGAGGAUCCGAGCGUUAUCCGGAUUUAUUGGGUUUAAAGGGAGCGCAGGUGGACAUUUAAGUCAGCUGUGAAAGUUAGCGGCCCAACCGUUAAAUUGCAGUUGAUACUGGAUGUCUUGAGUACGGUCAAGGAAGAUGGAAUUUGUGGUGUAGCGGUGAAAUGCUUAGAUAUCACAAAGAACUCCGAUUGCGAAGGCAGUCUUCCGGCCCGUCACUGACACUGAGGCUCGAAAGUGUGGGUAUCAAACAGGA
RNAcentral lists this ribosomal RNA (426 nucleotides) under uncultured bacterium. RNAcentral describes it as "bacterial SSU rRNA". It matches the Rfam family "Bacterial small subunit ribosomal RNA", at positions 354 to 777 of the family's 1533-position model. The record is from RNAcentral.